GCGAUAAAAGUUCUGUAGUAGAAUUCUCACCUUCCAUGUGGGAGACCUGGGUUCAAUUCCUGGUCAAUGCA
This 71-nucleotide transfer RNA is filed under the name Loxodonta africana (African savanna elephant). It matches the Rfam family "tRNA". From Rfam's summary of the family: Transfer RNA (tRNA) molecules are approximately 80 nucleotides in length. Their secondary structure includes four short double-helical elements and three loops (D, anti-codon, and T loops). Lineage: Eukaryota; Metazoa; Chordata; Mammalia; Proboscidea; Elephantidae. The record is from Rfam by way of RNAcentral.